This is a long non-coding RNA of Labeo rohita (rohu), 3618 nucleotides long. RefSeq lists it as uncharacterized. The record is from RefSeq and is a predicted model, not a curated record. The transcript has 6 exons. NCBI's taxonomy places the organism in Eukaryota, Metazoa, Chordata, Actinopteri, Cypriniformes, Cyprinidae.
UAUUAGAAAUCUCCACUUUGGCCGGAGUUUUUAGAAAUAAUCGUUUUCUGUGAUAAAAACAGGGUUUUCGUGUAAAUUAGAGGCCAAACCGCAGGGAAAUUUCUGCGUCUUUCCUUCGUGUAAACGGGGCCUUUAGCUAAGCACAGUUAACGUUUUAAAUAGAGAUGCACCGAUCGACCUGUUUCGUGUCUGCGUGCAACACAGCGGUGUUUCGUUACUGAAUAAAUCCACGCAUUUUAACGAAUCAAUUGAGUCAGUGAUUCAGUUAUCCAUUAAUAAAGACAGUUGCUUGCCUCGUUUCUGAAUGAAUCAGCUGUUUGAACGAAUCUGUUGAACUCAAACAGCCAUUUGCUGCCACCUACUGGUUUGGUUUCAAUUUAUUUUCAUUUUAUUGCCUACAGGUGUAGAAAACACACAAACAGACUAACAAAAACAGAAGACAAAUAAUAAUUUAUAUAUUGUAUUUACACAACAUCACUGUACAGGAAAUGUUUAACACUGUAUCAAAGUUAUUUAUAUUUACAUAUUUACAUUUCUGCAUUAUAAAUGUUCAGUUAUGUUUACUGCAGUACAAAUGUUUAAAGUUAUUUAUAUAUUUACAUGUUUACAGUACUGCAGUGCAAAAGUUCAAUGUUAUGUAUAUUUACAUAUUUACAGGAAACAUUGUAUAAAAUAUACAUGUUUAUAUUAUUUAUUACAAAAAUAAAUAUAAAAUCAUCAAUCUCCAACAAAUGUAAUCUUGUCUUUAAUCCUUGGCCCAAGCUUUUACUAACGGGCCAUUCUGGUAAUUACUAUAAUGUAUAAGUACAUAAUACUAUAUUGUAAUACUUAAAUUAUGAAUCGCUGUCAAAUUAAUCUUAUGAAAGAGUUUUGCCGCUAGCAUAAUUCGCUAUAGAAUGCGCUAUGCGGAAGUAAAUAGGCUGACCAAGAUUCUACCGGAAAUACGUCAGCAGCGUUCGUGCAUAGAGUAUAUUGAAACGAAUGGGUUUCAUAGCACAGCGCUUUCCGCAUUCAGUGUGAAAGCCGCUUCAAGCGGCAUCCUUUAUCAUUACUCCAACUAAUGAGACAGACAGACAGUCAAGCUGCAUCAAUCACAAAUUGUCAGACUACAGUGGGUCCACAGCUGAACAACAGAACUACACAAGCCUGAUUUAGCCGGUUAGCAAGACGUGCAGGGUUAACAUAACAUACACAACUACGUAUUUUGAACAAUCGCCAGAAAAUACAAUCUUUGUAGAUUCAUCAUCUUUUGAAUAUAAAACAUCUUUACUCACAUGUAUGAUACAGCGUCUUCCGUAUAAUGUACGUGUAAAUUUCCAUGUGACCUAAACCCCAUGGAAAUGUAUGGGCCAGCAAGUUGUUCGCGACGUAGAACGUGGGCGGACAUUAUGCAAAUCUGUUACCUCGUGACGUGUGGCCGUAACAGAAAGAGAUUCGAAAUCCUGACGACUCCUUAGGCAAAUGUGAGCCGACUCUUUUUUUUGAUAGACAAUAACUUUAUGUAUCGUGCACUGUCGGCUUCACAACUUUGCAGAUAGUUUAUGUUCACAUACAGCUACAUGACACACUACAUGAAAGAUCAUAUUUGAAAACGCAUAAUAGGGGCACUUUAAGAAAAUAAGUGUGUACUGUACAUAUAUGGAAGGGAGUUCUUGGCAAAAUCUCACCUGUAGUAAAUCAUUAUGAAUAAUAAAAGAUUUACAGUUUGACAGUGUGUUAUUUUAAAUGUUAAAAGUCAUUUAAGGAAAAUACACCGGGCGUUUUAACUCAGUUGGUGGAAUUGACAGAUGGUCCCUUGGGUGAGAGCACCUCAAAGCUUUCUCCGGUUUAAAUUUGUUGCUACAAUACACAUAGCCUACACAUUUGCUUGUCUGUAUUUGGUUCGCAUCACCAAUAAUGUGUACUGGAGGUCUUAUAUUACUGCAUUAGCACUGAGGCGCUUUCUGCGUCGUUGGGGAAUCCCGGAGUGUGACGUAUGAGGGAAACCCCAAUAGUUACAGCACAGCGUCACACAAGCCAUGAUACAAAGUUAAGGAAACUAAGUAACCGAAAGCAAUAUGUCUUCAUCAGAUGUAAUGUUCAGUUGUGUACAUCAGCGUCGGGUAAAACAACAUUAUAAUCUCCUUUCGUUAGAGAAAGCUGCUUACACAGCAAAAUUUCCAGUGUUGUAUAGAGUUGUUUUUAUGGUGUUAAUUUUCCAGUGUUGAAAAGUGUUGAUUCUGGUGUUGAUUUGAACGACAUGAACACUUGCAGUGUGAGUCAGUGUUCAGAGUCAGUGUUAUUACAACGAGUUAAUAUAAUUGACACUAUAGUGAUGAGUUAAUCCUAUUUCCGGUCCUUGCACAUUGUUUCCGUUUUGAUUAAUGGUGGAUGACCGCGAGGAGCGGAGAUGGUCAAACACAGGUAUAAUAUAUUUUUAACCAUUUAAUUCUAUCAGUUUUUAUACUAAGUUUACAGUUUUCAACAUUUAGUAUAAUAUUGCAAAUUCUAUAACAUCGGAGUGCUAACAUUAUUUGUGUUUAGACAGCGCGGCGGCAGACCACCGUCACGAGCCAGAGGCCAGCUUGCAAAAAGAGCUGUCGUCAUGCUGGUAAAAGUUCAGUAUCAGUGAGUGAAGAAAUUUGUGGAACUGCUUAACGAUUGUGCAUUCCAAGUUUUUCUCACUGAAGUUAAAAGACCCAGAUACCAGUGUUGAAUAGGACACAAAUUGAAGGCAUCUACAUUUAAGUUGCCCAGAAGAAAUUGUUUCUGCUGGCAUACCUGAUGUCACCCACAAGAUUCUCAAACCUCAGCACAAGUGCUCAUUCUUUCAUUCUCUUCAGCUGACCAUGAAGAGGCAAAAUCAAUAAGCAUCGGCCAGCAAAAUCUGUAGCAUAGAUGCUAGGGCAAAUGGAUUGUCCGACAUACCCUGGAAAAACAGUCCAGUGAUGAUGAAGAAAAUUAGGAUGAGACAGACUUGUGCACUUCCAUAUGGUAAAACUCGAUACUGUUGCAAAAUCCUGGACCUGCACCAGUAUUAUAUGCCAUCCCAGUCAGAUGGAGGACCACCAGCCAUACCUACUGGUAUUGAGAAGGAUCAAGGGCAUGAUCAGCUUAUUCUAUGUGGCCGGACAAGCACCUCAUCCCUUCUGACGGAACCACCACCCUGAGUGCUAUCGAACUCUAAGUCCACUUUGUGCUCAACCUGUUGUUUCAGUAGGUCCUUGUCAAUGUCUUUAUCCUGCUACGCUCUACAAACAUUGAUGUUGGUCAUACCAGUGAGUUACCAAGAGUAAAGGAAUUGCAACAUUUUUCAAUGCAUCAUGUAUUUAGUUGAGAGUUAAGAGUAUAUCUAACAGCCAGCAUUUGAAGUCCUACGUGUCUUUUCAUCUGUAGAGUUUGCAUGGGUGUUAUGAUGGUGAAUUUUUAUCUUUCUUUUAAGUGUUUUGUUUAGACGUGUCAUUGUUGAAAAUAAAGCAUCAAACCAAUACAACGUGUUUGCUGUUAUUGAAUGCACACAUUAUGUAUUUUUAGUUAAACUGAAUGCAGAUUACAUUGAAUGACAAAUCAGGGUUUGUAUGAACACUAUAUAAAGUGCAGAAAUAACUCCCUUGGUGUUAAAACUAUUGACACUCCUAG